Molecule: ribosomal RNA, 467 nt
Filed under: uncultured bacterium
Lineage: Bacteria
Description: partial 16S ribosomal RNA
Rfam family: Bacterial small subunit ribosomal RNA
Source: RNAcentral
GAUGAACGCUGGCGGCGUGCUUAACACAUGCAAGUCGAACGGAAAGGCCAGUUUUUGCACUGGUGCUCGAGUGGCGAACGGGUGUGUAACACGUGUGUGAUCUGCCCUGCACUUUGGUAUAAUCCUGGGAAAGUGGGUCUAAUACCAGAGAGGACCAUGCUUUGGAUGGUGUGGUGGAAAGUUUUUUCGGUGUGGGAUGAGCUUGCGGCCUAUCAGCUUGUUGGUGGGGUAAUGGCCUACCAAGGCGUCGACGGGUAGCCGGCCUGAGAGGGUGUACGGCCACAUUGGGACUGAGAUACGGCCCAGACUCCUACGGGAGGCAGCAGUGGGGAAUAUUGCACAAUGGGUGCAAGCCUGAUGCAGCGACGCCGCGUGGGGGAUGACGGCCUUCGGGUUGUAAACUCCUUUCGCAACUGACGAAGCUUUUUGUGACGGUAGGUGGAGAAGAAGCACCGGCUAACUACGUG